GUCUAUAUGUCCGAGUGGUUAAGCAGACAGACUUGAAAUCAGUUGGGCUUCGCCCGCGCAGGUUCGAACCCUGCUGUGUUUU
This 82-nucleotide transfer RNA is filed under the name Rhododendron simsii. RNAcentral describes it as "tRNA-Ser". It matches the Rfam family "tRNA". From Rfam's summary of the family: Transfer RNA (tRNA) molecules are approximately 80 nucleotides in length. Their secondary structure includes four short double-helical elements and three loops (D, anti-codon, and T loops). Lineage: Eukaryota; Viridiplantae; Streptophyta; Magnoliopsida; Ericales; Ericaceae. The record is from RNAcentral.